GCUAAGAUAACUCAGUUGGUAGAGUGUCUGUCUGAAGAACAGAAGGUCAUAGGUUCAAUUCCUAUUCUUAGCACCA
RNAcentral lists this transfer RNA (76 nucleotides) under Faucicola osloensis. Its description in RNAcentral is "Moraxella osloensis tRNA-Phe". It matches the Rfam family "tRNA". From Rfam's summary of the family: Transfer RNA (tRNA) molecules are approximately 80 nucleotides in length. Their secondary structure includes four short double-helical elements and three loops (D, anti-codon, and T loops). Lineage: Bacteria; Pseudomonadati; Pseudomonadota; Gammaproteobacteria; Moraxellales; Moraxellaceae. The record is from RNAcentral.